This is a non-coding RNA of Phasianus colchicus (ring-necked pheasant), 6164 nucleotides long. Lineage: Eukaryota; Metazoa; Chordata; Aves; Galliformes; Phasianidae. The record is from RefSeq and is a predicted model, not a curated record.
GACAGUUGGGUCAGGCUUAGGUACCACUCCAGAUGCCCACUCCAGUGGCACCACUGGCUUGCUCGGGGUUGUUGGGGAGGUAGGCUGGGAGACCAAUCAAACACAAUGAUGUUAGAAUUUGAAUUACAAAAUGUGAGUUCUCAUAACAAGUAGCACCACAUGGCAGCGCUGCAGCCAGCUUCAACAGCAGUGAGACCUGGGGGUAGAGAGCAGGAGGGAGUCUCUGGACACAGUGAGUAUCAGGAAUAGCAUAGAAACCUACUCCUUUUCAUUUUGAGAGAGCCCCUAAGGAGCCCACCAUCAUGAGAGGGAGAUAAAGAAGCCUAAUGAAAAAUGUUAUAUUAUUGUGUAUAAUAAGGAUAUUGUAGACUUUCACACUGAGAUGAGAAAGGGUCACAAGGUCAUACUAUACUGUGUUUAGUAGGAAAAAAAAAAAUAAAAGACGUGCUCUUGACUCACCAUGUUAGUGUGCUCAGGUGAGUUUAAGAAGAAAACAAUCCCUAUAUCCACAGAUCUGAAUUCCAACAAGAAACAGGGAACAUAAACACUCAACUCAUGUCAAUAGCACUUAUGAAACUUUUUAAUCUUAAGAUUAAUGUCACCAUACAGUGAUGAAAAACAACCUGCUGGCAAAUAUUUUUGCUCUAAAAACACACAGGAAUGCAACAAUCUUUUAGAGACAACGUUUUAUAUGAUAACACAAAACAUGCCAGGUGACACCCUUACAACUGUGGUCAGAGGAAAUUUGAUCUGUACCUUCUCUCAGAAAAUAUUUAGGUUAAUGGGACUCAAAGAAUUAGUACACUAGUGCUAAACUACUACAGACUCACAGAGAGCUUCUGCUGCUCCGAGUACACAGUGGCAGAAAAAAACCAAAUCCACUGGAGCAUUCCUCUUUCUUCUGAACAAUCAAACUCUCUCUAUAUAUAUAUUUGGUGCCUCUCAAUCAAACUCUCUCUCUCUAUAUAUAUUCAUGCUUUAUGUUGGCAUUGAAAUCCAUCUUACACCGAAGCAAAAAAAAAAAAUCUAUAUUAGUGCACCCACAGUGGCAGAAUUGUGCUGGGCAGAGAUGCCUGAUAGCCAUUGGCUGUACAAGAUAAAAAAAACAAACAAACUAGGUAGUCCCUGGGUAUUCAUUGAACAUAGCAUCAAAGUCUCCCAUAACAGCUGGGUACUCAUACUGCUUUUGUCUUUCUGUAAGUUGAGGCUUGAGAUCAAAGCAGCAAUGUGGUAAUUCUCUUCACUUACAGCGAUGACCCACUCCUCCCACAGUGCAGAGCUGUAAUUGCCCAACUUUAUAUGCAAUGAAGGAAGCAUGAGGGAGCCAGAAAAACUGUGGCAAAGGGAACAGUUGUGGUCAAAUUAUAUCCAGUGAGGACAGGAGACUCAUCAGCGAAAUUCCAGGUAUUCAGACUGAAUUAGUGCUGACUGUGGAACUGCUCAAUAUUGCCCAUCAUCCUCCAUUGAAACCACACGUACACAGUCUUCAAGCCGGUCUCCAAAAGUGAUGAACUAUCCUUAAAGUCAGCUGUGGUCGUGCAGUGGCACAUGUCUGCAGUGAACUCUUCCUUGCUGAGGUGAUCCCCGCUGUGGCCAGCUUUAUGCAAUGUGAUGAGCAUUGCAUGCUUCCUGUGGUCAUCUCCUUGCAACAAUUGGCUUUGGAUUAAUUGGCUUGAUUUGAAGUUACCAUCCAUCUUUCAAAUCCCCAGUUAAGCUGGAAUGUUCUACAGCAGGCAGAUAGAAUUACUACUGUAUAAACAGCUGUAACAGAUGAUUAUUUUCAGAGAACUUGAAGAGCAGAGCUAGUGAGGAGCAGGACCAGGCCCAAUAACCAUCUUUCCUUAGGCAAGGUGAUUACAUAGUGGUUAAAUUAGCCGUCUUUUGUAUUUAGGCUACAGUUUUGUGCCAACAGAUGAAAUGCAAUGAGUCUUCUUAGGACAGCCUUUACAGUGGCAGUUUCCAGUCUAAUUUGACUCUUCUUGCUGUCCUGUUCUCCUUAGUAAUUUGGACAGGGAGGGGUGUGAGGAAAGCAGAGGGGGAUCAGAAAGGCAUUUUUUCAUAUGUGGAACUUACUGAAGAAAAGUUGGGGAGGGUGACUUUCAGUUUAGCUGUUUAGACAUUUCUCAUUCUCUUCACUAGACUGUACAAGCGAUGGGGACUUUCCAGCCAUUUGCAUACAGUCUUAGAACAGGUUGGUUAAAUAGCCAUGAAGACCUAAAAAUAGCUGGGGGGAAAAUAGUGGCACCAAAUAAGCUGUAACUCAGUAUAAAUCCACUGCGGACUAAUGAAGAGACUGAAGUCCUCUUCCUAUCCGGAGAAAGUGAUGGGACAUUUACCCUCAGGCUUUUAUUCGUAUAGUGAAAUAAAAAUGAUGUGGAAAUACUGCACAACAGAUAAGAAAAUCAUAGAACCAUAGAAUUGUUUCAGUUGGAAGGGGCAUUUAUAGAUCAUCUAGUCCAACUCCCCUGUGGUUCUAAUUAUGAACCUGUCCCUAGAGCCAUUAAUCCUCUUGGGUGCACUGCCAAGCUUGUGCUUAGGUUUGUUUUUACCACUUUUGCUUCUUUGUUCCAGGUUUCAGCUGUCAGAAUGUAGAAUGUGUGCAGUCAGUGAGGAUGGAGCAAGUGUGGGCGAUAACUCAGGAAAGGGGGUUGAGGAGCACAGGCUAAGAGUAAGCAUGUAACGUGCUCCCAGGCAGCCAAGUCAUGCUACAUUCAGGUCUCUUGCCCAAGUAACUUGGCCUUACUUACACACACUCAAGUGAGAAUUCACAUCAUUAAAGCUUGCUCUCAGCCUUUGCAGCUUCCUGUGCAACUAAACCUGGUGUUUGCCUCAUUGCCCUCCAAACAAACCAUUGCCUUAUUUGUGGGAGAACUCCAAUUCCCUCUGAAAAAUGGUCAUGCAGCAGCUAACACUGAAAACAGAGAGAUUUAAAUUCUCUUUUCACCCAUUCACCUUUAUCAAGGAGCCUGAGGUUUACUACCAUGUUCUCUGGCCCAGCUUUUAAGCUAGUAAUCACUCAAUAGCUCUUAACACAGCCUCCACGAUAACCACUUCCAAAACACUUGAAAGGCUCAGCUUCUCCAAAGAAGACAGAGCUUCAUUACUGUGGAAAAGAAACACCAAGGCAAAUUCCCAUAUGCCCACUUAGUUCAUGACAUGCCCUUUUUAUUGCAUUGUGCAAGCUGUGGCCCAGGAAGCCAGCACCCAGAAAUGUACUUGUCAAGCCAGCACGGCCCAGGCUGGUGGCACUUGCUAACUGUGGUGUAAAAGGCUUCACCACAGGGGACAGAGGCCAGACAAGAGAUUUACACAUUGCUUAUCAGGAUGAAACACCUACUAAAAGCUCUCCCAGAUAGAAACGGCUUCUGCUGAGAAAACAGCAAAAGUGGACAAAUAACUGAGCCAGCUGACUGAUGUUCAAAUGAAGAGCACAGCACUAGCAAUGCAUUUACAUGCAUUUACCAGUUUUGGAAUUAACAUAAAGAUGAGAAAAUGUUUACAGUUUAUAUUAGAGUGGAAAGACAUAGCAAUAAACUGAAUAAUUACUUCGUCUGGUUCUGAAAACUGAGGUUGACUUUGGCAGCAAGGGAGGCUAAAUCUGCUAAAAGACCAUUUGCACAUCCCAAGGUCAGCUAUUUUCAGCCUGCAGUUCUUGUCAGCUUUGGGCUGUGACCCCAGCUUUUCUUCUCUUUCUCUGCCCCCAGCCUGUAAUUUAUAACUUUCUUAUUAACAAAAGGAUUGUUAGAAACAUUUCAUCUGCCACAUAAGUCCAUUAAUACCGUUCAAGAGACAACUGUAAGUAAAGGGACUGAAAUGUAUUCAUAUGGUACAAAGGAGGACAAAACAUAAUACACUGGAAGAGAAGUUGGAAUAUUCCUAAUAGUAUGAGGUCUUCAAAAACUCAGGUCCAAGUGGUAUCUUGUACAAAUUUAUUUCUAACCUUCCAGAAGUUGCUGUCUUAAGUGAAAACUCCCACACUACUCAACAGACUGGAAAAGUCUUAGGAUGCCUAUGGCCAUCUUCAUCACUACUGAACAGCUACAACCAUGGAAUCAUGACAGCAGACAAAAAGUGGCACAAGUUAAUUUUAACCCCUGAUCAGGCCUAGGAUUAACACUGCAGCAUGCAGCUUCAAUUAUUUACAGUCAGAUUGGCUCAACUGUUACAAAGCUAGCAGUGCAAUAUGAGGAACAAAUACAUCAGGGCAUCAUGAAUGAAGUAGUACUCUUCUUAUACUCAAUUACUUUUCCUGGUAAAUGAAAUAGAGAUUGGAAGAAAUAUUAUAUAAAUAUAAAUAAAAUCUCAUUUUGCUGACAAAAGGGAUAUUUUUAAAAUGGAAAAAUAGGUAAAUUACAAGAACUCAUGCUGGUACAACGAUGGAUAUCAAAGUGCAAGUCUUAGAAAAAUCUGAUGCUUCCAGCUCCUUUUGGAAUGCAGACUGUCACACAAAAGAGAGUGGCAGGUAAUCAAAACGACAGCAGUAGUUCAGCUUCCAUUUCUCACUUCACAUUGUCUAAUUUCUGCCCUUGGGUGCUCAGUUUCUUAUUCCUCAGUUCUCUAAAAUCUGAUGUUCCACUUCCCCCUACUCGCAGCCAAGUCUGUCAGAAAGUGUGAACUCGAGAUGAGAAACAACUCUCAAUCCCUACUAAAACAAAACAAGAUGAUAGAUAGAUAUCUAUUAUCAAAUUAGAGAGGCAUUACCGUGGGCUAUAUGUGGCCCCUUCUCUUCCCUGCCCCACCAGUUGUGAUUUGGAUGUGCUCCCAUUUGCUUUAUACAAAGUGCAACAGAAAAAAUUUGCCCUAUUCUCCAGUGAAGUGACACCAGAUUGGUAGCUCCAAUCUCAGGCUCAUUUUUGUCAGCCUCUGUACCUGAUUGGUUCCAGAACAAAUCCACCACAAAGUACAAACUCUGCAUAAUUUCUGAUAAACAUAUCUUUGAGCAUUUUAAAGUAAAGUGAGAGGAACAAAUCCAAGCUCCUGCUCAAUAGCCCCCACUCAAGGUAUUCACAUAGAAGAAGGCAAGUAAUGAAAUUCAGCUCAGGUCCAUAACCUGACUGAGAAAAAGCUGGAAUUCAGCUCCCACCUCUCCAGGCAGCGAUGAGCACAGCAGUUCAGAGCUAAAGUCGUUCCCUGUCUUUGAGGUUUUGUCUUUCAUUUAAAAGGGACAAAAGAAAUCUGGAGAAAAAGUUGGUCUAGAAAAGUUCAUGCUAGCCAAUAAAAUAAACAGAAUCACUGGAAAAGUUCUCAAAUCUAUCUUAUUCUGUCUCAGACAGACCUUGCUUGAUUCUAAGUUUACUUAGAAAAGAAUUCUACUGACUUAAUGACAGCAAGCAGCUUCUCUUCCAGUCUGGAUUAGAGAUCUGAUAGACAAAGUGAAAUAAGAAUAGAAACAGCAUAAAAUGAUCACACGUCGGGAGAGUCCUUUUUAUCUAAAGUGACAUCUUUAAAAAACAGCUCUCAGAUGAGUGGAUGGCUGGCUUUUGUCUGCAUGCAACAUGAACUGUUUUAAUGAACAACAUUCCUUUCCUCCAAGUUUCACUGCUCCUGUCUUUAAUUCCAACUGGUUUUUGCCCCUAAUCAAACCAUGGUGCAUGGAUCAAAUGCUGCUGCGGUUAAGAUCAAUGCUAAUUUGAAAAAAUUUCAGCAGAAGCAGGAUUUGGUCAGUAGAUUCAGGGGGCACGCUUCAAUAUGUUUUGAAGUUAAGCAUUGUAUUAAUUAUCAAAUGACACUAAUUGUCUACAUAUAAAAAAAGGAGACAUAAAAUAAAUCCCUUUCAGCGCUGACACUUGUGGGUGUUUUUUCAGGAACUAUUUAACAUCAUAUAGGAAUACAUUUACUUAAGGUAUAGGAAGAACACUCUGUCAUUUACAAAGCACAGGGGAGAAGGAACAAAAUUACUCCCAAGUUAGAAUUUCACUGAUGUAAGUAUGCCAACACAUAGCCCAAACUUUGCAAAAACCUAAAUUCUAACUAGUCAGAACUUUUUCCUUCUAAUACAGAAGCAUCUCUCUUUCCAUUAUUAAUUUUUUUAAAUAAAUGAAUCGAUGCAACUGUUUUCUGUUUCUGUAUCCAGCCACCACAUACUCUCUGAAUACAUUCACAUCUCACAUGAACCUGUUUCUAUUCUGCAUUGCCUCUUUUUUAAAAUUAAAAAAAAAAAAAAA